Molecule: ribosomal RNA, 215 nt
Filed under: uncultured bacterium
Lineage: Bacteria
Description: partial 16S ribosomal RNA
Rfam family: Bacterial small subunit ribosomal RNA
Source: RNAcentral
GACAGAGGUGCCGAGCGUUAGGCGGAAUCACUGGGCUUAAAGCGUGUGUAGGCGGACUUCUAAGCACCUUGUGAAAUCCCACGGCUUAACCGUGGAACUGCUUGGUAUACUGGUUGUCUUGGGCCAUCUAGGGGCUAGCGGAACAAACGGUGGAGCGGUGAAAUGCGUAGAUAUCGUUUGGAACGCCAAUGGUGAAAACAGCUAGCUGGGGGAUG